This 783-nucleotide unclassified non-coding RNA is filed under the name Limnonectes larvaepartus. RNAcentral describes it as "partial contains tRNA-Phe, 12S ribosomal RNA, tRNA-Val, and 16S ribosomal RNA". It matches the Rfam family "Bacterial small subunit ribosomal RNA", at positions 376 to 1406 of the family's 1533-position model. Lineage: Eukaryota; Metazoa; Chordata; Amphibia; Anura; Dicroglossidae. The record is from RNAcentral.
UGUAAGUCUCAGCACACCCGUGAGGACGCCCUUAUUCCUACACCAGUUUAAGGAGCCGGUAUCAGGCACCAAAUUUGCCCAUUACACCUAGUCUCGCCACACCCCCAAGGGCCACAGCAGUAAUAAACAUUGUUUAUAAGCGAUAGCUUGAUUCAGUUAUAGAAAAUAGAGCUGGCUAACUCGGUGCCAGCCGCCGCGGCUAAACCGCAUGAGCUCAAGUUGAUAAUUAUCGGCGUUAAGCGUGAUUAAAAAUAUGCUUAAUUAGAGUAAAAUUAGUACUUAGCCGUGACAAGCUUGUAUUUAAGAAAAACAAAAACGAAAGUUACCCUAAUAUACUUGAACCCACGACAGUUGAGAAACAAACUGGGAUUAGAUACCCCACUAUGCCCAACCGUAAAAUAUAAACUUACAUAUUCAACGCCUGGGGAUUACGAGCCUAGCUUAAAACCCAAAGGACUUGACGGUGUCCCACCCAACUAGAGGAGCCUGUUCUAUAAUCGAUAAUCCCCGAUUUACCCGACCCAAUUUUGCCACUCAGUCUGUAUACCUCCGUCGUAAACUUACCAUAUGAAUGCUUACAGUAAGUUCAAUGAUCUUCACAUCAAUACGUCAGGUCAAGGUGCAGCUUAUAGUAGGGAAAGAAAUGGGCUACAAUUUCUAAAUUAGAACAUACGAAAUGCUACAUGAAACACAACCACGAAGGCGGAUUUAGUAGUAAAAGGGGAAUAAUGUGCCCCUUUUAACAAGGCCCUGGGACAUGUACACACCGCCCGUCACCCUCUU